This 889-nucleotide ribosomal RNA is filed under the name methanogenic prokaryote enrichment culture B31_4_126. Its description in RNAcentral is "bacterial SSU rRNA". It matches the Rfam family "Bacterial small subunit ribosomal RNA", at positions 8 to 916 of the family's 1533-position model. The record is from RNAcentral.
AGAGUUUGAUCAUGGCUCAGGAUGAACGUUGGCGGUGUGCCUAAUACAUGCAAGUCGAACGGAGUUAAUAGCAAUAUUGACUUAGUGGCGAACGGGUGAGUAACGCGUUGGUGAUCUGCCUCGAAGUGUGGAAUAACGUUCCGAAAGGAACGCUAAUACCGCAUGUGCUCUCGAUUUUUAGAAACUUGAGAGUAAAGGAUUUAUUCGCUUCAAGAGGAGCCUGCGUCCCAUCAGCUGGUUGGUAGGGUAACGGCCUACCAAGGCUAUGACGGGUAGGGGACCUGAGAGGGUGGCCCCCCACAAUGGAACUGAAACACGGUCCAUACACCUACGGGUGGCAGCAGUAGGGAAUAUUAGAAAUGGACGAAAGUCUGAUCUAGCAACACCGCGUGUGCGAAGAAGGCCUUCGGGUCGUAAAGCACUUUUUGGAAGGAAUAGGAAGGAAUGUACUUCCAGAAUAAGUCUCGGCUAACUACGUGCCAGCAGCCGCGGUAACACGUAGGAGGCAAACGUUAUCCGGAUUUACUGGGCGUAAAGCGCGUGUAGGUGGUACUGUAAGUAGGGCGUGAAAGCUCCCGGCUCAACUGGGAGAGGCCGUUCUAAACUGCAGAACUAGAGGAUGGUAGAGGGAGGUGGAAUUCCAGGUGUAGCGGUGGAAUGCGCAGAUAUCUGGAGGAACACCAGUGGCGAAGGCGGCCUCCUGGACCAUUCCUGACACUCAGACGCGAAAGCUAGGGUAGCAAACGGGAUUAGAGACCCCGGUAGUCCUAGCCCUAAACGAUGUAGACUAGGCGUCGGUGGUUUAAUCACCAUCGGUGUCCAAGCUAACGCGAUAAGUCUACCGCCUGGGGACUACGGCCGCAAGGUUAAAACUCAAAGGAAUUGACGG